Molecule: ribosomal RNA, 253 nt
Filed under: uncultured bacterium
Lineage: Bacteria
Description: partial 16S ribosomal RNA
Rfam family: Bacterial small subunit ribosomal RNA
Source: RNAcentral
UACAGAGGUCCCAAGCGUUGUUCGGAUUUACUGGGCGUAAAGGGUGCGUAGGUGGCGAGGUAAGUUCGAUGUGAAAUCUCCGAGCUCAACUCGGAAAUGGCAUUGAAUACUAUCCCGCUUGAGGGUCGGAGGGGAGACUGGAAUUCUCGGUGUAGCAGUGAAAUGCGUAGAUAUCGAGAGGAACACCAGUGGCGAAGGCGAGUCUCUGGACGACUCCUGACACUGAGGCACGAAAGCGUGGGGAGCAAACAGG